Long non-coding RNA from Gallus gallus (chicken), 1232 nucleotides. Lineage: Eukaryota; Metazoa; Chordata; Aves; Galliformes; Phasianidae. The record is from Ensembl.
GCUUUGGGUCUGCAAGUUCUUAACCAUGGGCAGAACUUUGAGCUUAUCAACAUCUUCUCUCCCAUCAUGGAAACUGGCUUGCACACUUGAAGUUAGACAGAUCACAGAAUCACAGAAUAUCCUGAAGUGGAAGAGUCCCAUAAACGUCAUUGAGUCCAACUCCUGGCUCCACGCAAGACCACCCGAAAAUCAAACCCUAUGUCUGAGAGAACUGUUCAGAUGUUUCUUGAACUCCAACAGCUUGGGGCCAUGACAACUGCCCUGGGGAGCCUGUUCCAGGGCCCAACAUCCCUCUGGGGAAUGCAUAUGUUUGUGCAUAUGUUUGUGCAGGUCUUGCUAUGAAAAAGUGACCACGGUAAAGCAGAAAGAGGCAAUGGAAUACAUUCCCUCUUACUUUCGUGUUGAUGGCAAAUAGAGUUCUCAUAUUCCCACUUGUCCCAUUGGUGUAAAGGAUGACUUUAGCAAACUGUCUAAGCACAUUCACAUGAGCACAGAAUGACAUGCAUGAAUUAUGUGUUGGAAGGAAAGCAUUUACAGAAUUAGAAAGCCACCAUCUGCACAUUUGCAUUUUCAGUACUAUAUAAACUGCCCAAUGGUUUUCCGCUUAAAGUUUCCAGAAAGACAGGUACUAUUCUUAGUGCUGGUUGAAGCCCCGGUGAGUUUUCUCCUUGCAGGAUGCUCAGUUAACUACAACUACAGACCUAGAUGCUCUUUGAAUUUAUCAGGAGUGGAUUCCAAUGCUGAUAUUUUAAUGCAGCUCCCUGACACACUUACUAGUCACAGGCUUUUCCUUAUUAAUGAUUUGUGACCUCAUGGUUCAGCUGCUCAGAACCAGAGACGCUUCACCCCUACAUAGAUUCUUCAGCAGCUGUCUGCCUGUAGCUCCGAGCUUAUGGCAUGGCACUGGUUCAAAAAUGGAUAAAGAAGGAAUGAGGAGAUGUGCCGUCAUGAAUAAAGAUACCAAAUCAGUUCACAAACACAAAACUGGACCAUUUUCAAAAAAGUCAGGUGCACGGUGAGUGGAAGCUGUUCCAAGUCUCAUGCUUAUACAGCAGCCCACAGAUGUCGUACAUCCAUGUCUGAGCAACCAGCUGUCUUCUCAUCAGUAUUAAGUGUUCAGCUGACAUUAAAGGGACAGACAGCACUAAAACUGAGAGCACAGAAACUUGAAUGGCUUUCCUGAAGUCUGCUGUGCCCAUGAAUUGUUGUGCACACUUCUUUUUUUCUGAAAC